GCUGCCGUCCGGCUUGUCGCUGGCUCAUUCCUGCACCUUGGCGUGGGGUGGGCGAGAGGAAAGUCCGGGCAACACAGGACAUCCCGCUUCCUAACGGGAAGAAGGUCGUGAGGCUUAGUCAGUGCAGAAGAAAAUAACCGCCCUUUUUUUAAUUCAUAAUGCAUAAUUCAUAAUUCGUAAUUUAUGCAGGUUGUAUUUGCUGAAGGCAGAUGUGAUAGGCAAGAUUGUGAAUUCGGCAUUGUGAAUUAUGAAUUGAGACAAGGGUAAGGGUGAGAAGGUGAGGUAAGAGCUCACCAGGCGUGUGGCGACAUACGUGCUGUGCACUCCGGGAGUUGAAAGUUCGCGUAUACCGGCGUUACUAGGGCUGUCCGUCCGAGCCGGAGGGUAGAACGAUAAGGUGUCUGGCAACGGGCAUCGGGAUGCGGAUGGUGACAUCCGUACUGGAUAAAUGACAAGCACCCCAUCUAGGUGGAGUACAGAACCCGGCUUACAGGAUGGCAGCAUUU
Molecule: RNase P RNA, 506 nt
Filed under: Bacteroidales bacterium
Lineage: Bacteria; Pseudomonadati; Bacteroidota; Bacteroidia; Bacteroidales
Description: RNase P RNA component class A
Rfam family: Bacterial RNase P class A
About the family: Ribonuclease P (RNase P) is a ubiquitous endoribonuclease, found in archaea, bacteria and eukarya as well as chloroplasts and mitochondria.
Source: RNAcentral